AGUAGAAUGGCUGAGAUAUGAAGGUGAAGGAUUGUAAAUCUUUUAAGGAGUUAGAGACUCUUCUACUA
RNAcentral lists this transfer RNA (68 nucleotides) under Byrsotria sp. B018. RNAcentral's name for it is "tRNA-Tyr". It matches the Rfam family "tRNA". From Rfam's summary of the family: Transfer RNA (tRNA) molecules are approximately 80 nucleotides in length. Their secondary structure includes four short double-helical elements and three loops (D, anti-codon, and T loops). Further hydrogen bonds mediate the characteristic L-shaped molecular structure. tRNAs have two regions of fundamental functional importance: the anti-codon, which is responsible for specific mRNA codon recognition, and the 3' end, to which the tRNAs corresponding amino acid is attached (by aminoacyl-tRNA synthetases). tRNAs cope with the degeneracy of the genetic code in two manners: having more than one tRNA (with a specific anti-codon) for a particular amino acid; and 'wobble' base-pairing, i.e. permitting non-standard base-pairing at the 3rd anti-codon position. The record is from RNAcentral. Lineage: Eukaryota; Metazoa; Arthropoda; Insecta; Blattodea; Blaberidae.